RNAcentral lists this transfer RNA (76 nucleotides) under Gallibacterium anatis. RNAcentral's name for it is "tRNA-Phe". It matches the Rfam family "tRNA". From Rfam's summary of the family: Transfer RNA (tRNA) molecules are approximately 80 nucleotides in length. Their secondary structure includes four short double-helical elements and three loops (D, anti-codon, and T loops). Further hydrogen bonds mediate the characteristic L-shaped molecular structure. tRNAs have two regions of fundamental functional importance: the anti-codon, which is responsible for specific mRNA codon recognition, and the 3' end, to which the tRNAs corresponding amino acid is attached (by aminoacyl-tRNA synthetases). tRNAs cope with the degeneracy of the genetic code in two manners: having more than one tRNA (with a specific anti-codon) for a particular amino acid; and 'wobble' base-pairing, i.e. permitting non-standard base-pairing at the 3rd anti-codon position. The record is from RNAcentral. RNAcentral also lists the same sequence under 245 other names. Lineage: Bacteria; Pseudomonadati; Pseudomonadota; Gammaproteobacteria; Pasteurellales; Pasteurellaceae.
GCCCAGAUAGCUCAGUCGGUAGAGCAGGGGAUUGAAAAUCCCCGUGUCGGUGGUUCGAUUCCGCCUCUGGGCACCA